CGAGAGCUUCACGUCGAAGGAGUAGCGACCCACGACGACCCCGAGUCCUGCGUCGGCAUCCGCGAGGCUGCAGGCGAAGCAUGGGACAGGGGCACGUGCGGGCCGGGUAUUGAGCCGCGAAAUCAGGUACUUCAGGGCGCCGACGUCGUUAAGCGAGGCGGAAGGCAAGACGCUCCGAGCCGUAAGCGCGAGGCUCGGUGCGGCCCUGCGCGGUCGAAGACCC
This 223-nucleotide non-coding RNA is filed under the name Nannocystis exedens. Lineage: Bacteria; Pseudomonadati; Myxococcota; Nannocystales; Nannocystaceae. The record is from RNAcentral.